GAUGAACGCUGGCGGCGUGCCUAAUACAUGCAAGUCGAGCGAACGGACGAGAAGCUUGCUUCUCUGAUGUUAGCGGCGGACGGGUGAGUAACACGUGGAUAACCUACCUAUAAGACUGGGAUAACUUCGGGAAACCGGAGCUAAUACCGGAUAAUGUUUUGAACCGCAUGGUUCAAAAGUGAAAGACGGUCUUGCUGUCACUUAUAGAGGGAUCCGCGCUGCAUUAGCUAGUUGGUAAGGUAACGGCUUACCAAGGCAACGAUGCAUAGCCGACCUGAGAGGGUGAUCGGCCACACUGGAACUGAGACACGGUCCAGACUCCUACGGGAGGCAGCAGUAGGGAAUCUUCCGCAAUGGGCGAAAGCCUGACGGAGCAACGCCGCGUGAGUGAUGAAGGUCUUCGGAUCGUAAAACUCUGUUAUUAGGGAAGAACAUAUGUGUAAGUAACUGUGCACAUCUUGACGGUACCUAAUCAGAAAGCCACGGCUAACUACGUG
This 497-nucleotide ribosomal RNA is filed under the name uncultured bacterium. RNAcentral's name for it is "partial 16S ribosomal RNA". It matches the Rfam family "Bacterial small subunit ribosomal RNA", at positions 28 to 507 of the family's 1533-position model. The record is from RNAcentral.